GCGGGCGUGGCGAAACUGGUAGACGCAAGGGACUUAAAAUCCCUCGACCGGAUGGUCAUGCGGGUUCGACCCCCGCCGUCCGCACCA
Molecule: transfer RNA, 87 nt
Filed under: Martelella mediterranea
Lineage: Bacteria; Pseudomonadati; Pseudomonadota; Alphaproteobacteria; Hyphomicrobiales; Aurantimonadaceae
Also listed under: 5 other names
Description: tRNA-Leu
Rfam family: tRNA
About the family: Transfer RNA (tRNA) molecules are approximately 80 nucleotides in length. Their secondary structure includes four short double-helical elements and three loops (D, anti-codon, and T loops). Further hydrogen bonds mediate the characteristic L-shaped molecular structure. tRNAs have two regions of fundamental functional importance: the anti-codon, which is responsible for specific mRNA codon recognition, and the 3' end, to which the tRNAs corresponding amino acid is attached (by aminoacyl-tRNA synthetases). tRNAs cope with the degeneracy of the genetic code in two manners: having more than one tRNA (with a specific anti-codon) for a particular amino acid; and 'wobble' base-pairing, i.e. permitting non-standard base-pairing at the 3rd anti-codon position.
Source: RNAcentral